GGGGGGGGGGGGGGGUUUACUUUGUUAUUUUUUUAAUAAGCCUUAUCAUACUUAAACAAAAAGGGAAUUGCAAAACUUGGCUUUAGAGAAGGUCUUCUGAUUUCUACUCUUAUAUAUUCCCUUGCGAAUUGUGUCAGAAAAACCGAACUCUUCCAUUUUCUAUAUUAAAAAGUUACAAUAUAAACAACAUAAGAGCAAACUAGCAAAAAAUUACCCUUUAUGUGUGCACUGGGAGUUUAUUCUCUUUCAGUUUCUAGUGUAUUGGAGAGACCUUCCUAAAAAUACAGCUUUCAGUAACAGGAAUCUGAAAUGUUAAAACUUUCAACUAAAGACAUUCAGGUGAUUGGGAUAGUCUGUGUAUCUCCAGUUUAAGGAGAGGAAUAAGCAUCAGUUUCCUGGCGUUUAGAAACUAUUUUCAAAUUCUCAUGGAUUUUUUUUAACACUCAAUAGGGUUUUAAGUAAAAUUUUUAAAAGUUAAGUAAAGCAAACCAUGGGAAAAGUUUUCAAGGAUGGACAAGAAAUAACAGUUACUAGAUCAGUUUCAGCUUUGUGUUUGUGCGUGCUUUGUAUGGGAGGGGAGCGUCUGAAACCAAAUUGAAACACAUCCAUUAAAAUGCUGCUGCUGUUCUUUAUUCUUGCACAAUUUUAACAAGUUGAGGUAGUAGCUAAGCUAUUUCAGGCUGUAUUUUAAUGCUGCUAUUUUUCAAUGUAUCAGCUAGGGGCAAAACGCAGCAGUGUGUUGACUGUAUUUGCUGAUGCCCACUGCCUGCCUCGAUUCUGACCUUCAGUUGCUAAUACAAGGCAAUCAGCAUGCACCCUAUGAAGCAAAACUGCAACUUUUUUUGUUGGCCACAAGGUGGUGGAACCACAGAGUAUGUUUAUGGGAAAUGCAGUAUUUGUACAGUUUAUUCAUUUUACCUGUUUAAAAAUCUGUUUUACGGUUGUUUAUGUUAGUUUUCUACGAGUUUAUUUAAGCAAAUGUACUGUUCUUUAAAGCAUAUGUGGAUCUCCAGAUUUGUUUGUCACACUUGUAACACUGGAAAGCAUCACAAUGUGUUCAUCUAUCUUAACGUGCCAUUCUUUCAAGUAUGUAUAAAAUGUAAAUUGACCAACAUGGCUUUUAAAAAUGUUUAAAAUCUGAUGGCAAAAACCCAACCCUCUCUGAUUCCUCACUGGUUAAUUCUUUUGUUUCAGUGCUUGAUCAUCUACUGGGAUAACAUUAUCAGAUGUGGCAUUCUUAUUACGGAAAUUUUAGUAAGAAAUGGGAAAUGUUUUAAGAAAAAAACCCCUACCCUUUCUCUUUUUACUUUAAUUCAAGAAGACAGGGACUUGUAAAAACAGAAGACCAAUACAUUCAUGCUAGAUUUAAGGGAUUUGCUUCUGUUCCUUGAAGAAGAAGAAUCUGAAAGGGCAAUUCCUAAUUAGAUAUGAUCAAAUGAAUCAAAGUCUUGGUGUAGUUAGCAAGUCAGUUGUUUAUGCCCUCUUAAAGUUGUAGUCCAGGUGUGUUUUUCUUUGUAAACUUUUGCUAACUUUGUCAUAGUACUGUUACCAGAAAACUAAAUCUGAUACCAUUCACUUCCUUUAACAUAAGGUAUGUGCAGCUGAGAUACUGGAGCCUUACAUUAGUAUUAGCAGUUGUCCAUUCUGAACUAGAAUGAAAUGAAGGCUCAUAUGUAUUCUAUGAAUUUUCUCACUGAAUAGAAUUAAAUACAUGGAUUGCCCUUAAAAUCAACAGAAGCUCUAAUGGAAGCACUUACAGUUAAUGAUUAUUCCUUAAGAAGGUUUUAGGCAAUAAAAGUAACACAAAUGGAAAAGAGAAGCAUAGUUAGGAAUCACUCAGAUCACAUCAUCUGGAACCAGGAAGAAGUUCUCACUUCAGGUUCCAGAAGAAGGUUUAUGCCCUAGAUCACCAUGAGCAAAGACUGUCUUGCCGGUGAACGGACAUUAAUACAGGAACGCCAGGAAUUUAGCUACUGUAGCUUCCCAGUUCUGAUGUGCUGCAACCCCUCUUUCUUGCCACUGAAAAUUUACAGUUCAGUGCUAAGAAAGCAAAGCUUAUCACUUGCUCUCUACCUCUUCCCCCCCCCCGCCCCCCACGGCAAUAGAUAGGGAGGAGCAAUAGAGUCUGUAUAUUGCUGUAGGUGAAAUGCCACCACAAAGAAGGAAAAAGCUAGUAGAACCAGAAAGUUAGACUACUGUUUAAGCUAAAAGUCUGUUUCAGGGCUGCAAGGAUAAAAUGCCACAAUGUGCUAUAAUGAUGAAAUGGUUGAAACAGGACCAAAGCGAACUUGAGUGUACAUGUUAUCUUCAUGCUUCUCCUUCCAUGACCUUUUUAGAUGGUCUAAAGAUUUAGGCCUUCCAGGUCAAGCAAAUACUUAAAUGCUAUUGCCAAGGAUUGAAAAUUAUUAUAUGACCUAGUUUGCCUCCACUGUUGAUUCUCUUUGUGUUACCGUCAUACAGUGGAGUUGCUGGAGACCAUUGUAAAAACAUGCAGGUGAACCAUGUGAAUAUUUUCCAUGUCAUUUACUUCCAUCGUUCCAUCUUGCAGUAAGAAAGACCCCUCCUUUUCCAACAGAAGCCACUUCACAUCAUUCUGCACUGUAGAAACAACCACACCGGGAGGUUCAGUUUGUAGCAGAGCUAUCCCUGGAGAUAACUAAAAUAUCUCCAGUAUUCUGGUGCAGAAUGGACCAGGUACUGCUAAAGCUCUGGGCUUGUGUAGGCCUGUUUUACACGUUAAGUAAGAUUCUAUUAUUUACACCUGUUCAAGCACAUUUGGGAAUUAAUAUGAUUACAGAGUCCCUGAGCCUAGCAGAAGUGUUUGCUCUACUGCUUUGUCCUAAUUGCAGUCAUGUUCAAAUGCUCUUGUCAAAAAUGGUUCAUCAGAAUGGAGAAAACUUUUUUUUAUUUUCCACUAGAGCUUUUGUUUGUGUAACUGUUGCAGUCUUUUUUUCCCUGGUGGUAGGAUCUUCUGAGAACCCAAAACAUUCUGCAGAUGAACCAUUUCUCUGAUCUGCAGAAUGAUUUGUAUGACAAGGCCGUGUUAUAUCCCUGUGGAUGUAUGGAAGGGCAGGCUUGUGUACAAAACAGCUUCCUGCUUGGAAGGGGAAUACAGCAGCUUUCUGCAGCUGCCCCCCAAAGAGGAGCACAACGGGUAGAGCCCACCAGUGAGCAGAUGGCCUCGGUCCUUAGAUGCUCACUUCUCCCCUGGGGCAGUCUGAGCGAGGUCCAGAAGGCAGUUACGGGAAAAGACUCGUCCGGUUCCUUCUUAUUGUGCCUAACUGAAUGAUCAAAUGCCAAUCUACAUACAGUAGCUCAAAUUUCCUCCACUUUAGUCCCAUUUUGGGAGAAACUGGGACUACACUAACUCCAGGUAUUACACAAAUAGUCAGCUGAAAACUGAUCCGUAUCUAAAAACUGUUUCAAAUAUAAUGUAAAAGCUGCCAUAGCAAAAGAACAUUUCUUCACAACAGCCUCUUCUAAUCCCUUCUUUACUGCUUCUCACAGCCUAAGAGAAAUUGUGUUUUGGGCUUCACAGUUACACAUGAAAACUUGCAGAAGCCACUCAGUAAUGGUAAUAUAUUUGGAAUCCUGGAUAAAAUUUACCUAUGCAGGCACAGAUGUUUCAGGAGAUGGGAUAUCAGUACUAACCAAGGCAGCAAAAAGAGGGUAAGGAAUUGUUGUGUUGGAGAAGCACCACAACGAAACAGUGAAUUUUAAAAUUAUCUCACAGCAGGACACUGUGAAAUGUCCUUUCUGUGUCUGUCCAUCAAAAAACCCAAACAACUAAGCCUUCUCUUCCCUAUGUAAGUUGUGCAAAUUCCAAGGAAAGGAGUUAAGACUAUUUAUUUAAAUAUAAAUACAAUUAAAUUAUGUAAUUAGUGCUAAAUUAAAAGGUGUAGAAGACAAACAACUUGUUAUUGUUUGGAUAAUUUGGGGUUUCAUCACAGUUAAUAUUGUUGGCAUUGUUUUAACACUACCAUGUUAGAGAGUCAGUUUUUGACAUUUUAUACUGCUGUUGCUAGUGCUUCAGUAUCUCAUAGUGCUCUGUUUUGGGGAAAGAAAACCUAAUGCUAAUAGUUUAAUACUGAAAGGUGUUGAAAUUGUACUGCUAAACAUCUCUCAGUUUAGGCCCAAAGAGAGGGAAAAAGGAAAGGGAAAAAGGGGGGGAAAAUAUUGUCAUUCUGGAUAGUGGGGUUUUUUUAAUUUUCUGAGAAAAGUGGUAUGAAAAAGGGAUCUAAAAACUGUAUGUGGGGAAAAAAAAAAGGCAUUUGUAGCCUUUCUUUGUACACAAUGUUAAAUAAAAUCUCCUGUAUCUA
Long non-coding RNA from Harpia harpyja (harpy eagle), 4319 nucleotides. RefSeq lists it as uncharacterized. NCBI's taxonomy places the organism in Eukaryota, Metazoa, Chordata, Aves, Accipitriformes, Accipitridae. The transcript is spliced from 2 exons. The record is from RefSeq and is a predicted model, not a curated record.